AUCCUUUUUUGUCUCAUAAGCAUGAUGAUUGAGUUUUCACACUGUUGUGUGUGAUGUUCCUCCUUCACACCUUGUUACAAUGUCAUCAUAUUAACUCUCUGACA
Small nucleolar RNA from Pteropus vampyrus (large flying fox), 104 nucleotides. NCBI's taxonomy places the organism in Eukaryota, Metazoa, Chordata, Mammalia, Chiroptera, Pteropodidae. The record is from Ensembl.